GUCCUGGCCCUAAACGAUGUCUACUAGAUCGUAGCGGUUUUGACGCCGUUAUGGUCGCAGCAAAAGUGUUAAGUAGACCGCCUGGGAAGUACGGUCGCAAGGCUAAAACUCAAAGGAAUUUACGGGGGCUCACACAAGCGGUGGAGCAUGUGGUUUAAUUCGAAGCAACGCGAAGAACCUUACCUGGGCUUGACAUUUUAGGAUUAUCUCGAUGAAAGUCGAGUAGGCCUCGCAAGAGGUACAACUAGAACAGGUGCUGCAUGGCUGUCGU
RNAcentral lists this ribosomal RNA (271 nucleotides) under uncultured bacterium. RNAcentral's name for it is "partial 16S ribosomal RNA". It matches the Rfam family "Bacterial small subunit ribosomal RNA", at positions 793 to 1055 of the family's 1533-position model. The record is from RNAcentral.